RNAcentral lists this non-coding RNA (21 nucleotides) under Arabidopsis thaliana (thale cress). The record is from RNAcentral. Lineage: Eukaryota; Viridiplantae; Streptophyta; Magnoliopsida; Brassicales; Brassicaceae.
CGGCGCAGAGAAGGUCGAGUG